RNAcentral lists this ribosomal RNA (253 nucleotides) under uncultured bacterium. Its description in RNAcentral is "partial 16S ribosomal RNA". It matches the Rfam family "Bacterial small subunit ribosomal RNA", at positions 524 to 776 of the family's 1533-position model. The record is from RNAcentral.
UACGUAGGGUGCAAGCGUUGUCCGGAAUUAUUGGGCGUAAAGAGCUCGUAGGCGGCUUGUCACGUCGACUGUGAAAUCCCACGGCUCAACCGUGGAACUGCUGGGCAUACUGCGGGUCUUGGGCCAACUAGGGGUAGCCGGAACAAGCGGUGGAGCGGUGAAAUGCGUAGAUAUCGCUUGGAACGCCGAAGGUGAAAACAGGCUGCUGGGGUUGCGCCGACGCUGAGACACGAAAGCCAGGGGAGCAAACGGG